AUUAGAUACCCUAUUAUUUUUAAUGUGAAAAUUAAAGCCGGAGUACUAUUAGUUAAGGUCUUUAAACUUAAAGAAUUUGGCGGUAUUAUAGUCUAUUUAGAGGAAUCUGUUUCUUAAUCGAUAGUCCGCGUUGAACCUUACUUAUAUUAAUUCUUGUAUAUCGCUGUUUAUUGAGUCUAUUAAAAGAUAAUUCUCUGGAUAAAUUAAUUAUUAAUAUUUCAAGUCAAGGUGCAGUUAUGUAUAAGUUUGAUAAUGGAUUACAAUAAAGUGUAUUUAUAUGGAUUUUUAUUGGAAUUUAAAUUGAAGGUGGAUUUAAUUGUAAUUUUUUGAAGAUUGUAAAAAUGAUUAUAGGCUCUAUAAUAUGCACACAUCGCCCG
This 377-nucleotide ribosomal RNA is filed under the name Humbertiella similis. Its description in RNAcentral is "partial 12S ribosomal RNA". Lineage: Eukaryota; Metazoa; Arthropoda; Insecta; Mantodea; Gonypetidae. The record is from RNAcentral.